The sequence is a transfer RNA, 74 nucleotides long. It matches the Rfam family "tRNA". Rfam says of the family: Transfer RNA (tRNA) molecules are approximately 80 nucleotides in length. Their secondary structure includes four short double-helical elements and three loops (D, anti-codon, and T loops).
GUGGCCAUGGUGUAGUGGUAACACAGGAGUCUGUGGCACUCUUAUCGAGGGUUCAAUUCCCUCUGGCCACCCCA